UACGUAGGUCCCGAGCGUUGUCCGGAUUUAUUGGGCGUAAAGCGAGCGCAGGUGGUUUAUUAAGUCUGGUGUAAAAGGCAGUGGCUCAACCAUUGUAUGCAUGGAAACUGGUAGACUUGAGUGCAGGAGAGGAGAGUGGAAUUCCAUGUGUAGCGGUGAAAUGCGUAGAUAUAUGGAGGAACACCGGUGGCGAAAGCGGCUCUCUGGCCUGUAACUGACACUGAGGCUCGAAAGCGUGGGGAGCAAACAGG
RNAcentral lists this ribosomal RNA (251 nucleotides) under uncultured bacterium. Its description in RNAcentral is "partial 16S ribosomal RNA". It matches the Rfam family "Bacterial small subunit ribosomal RNA", at positions 524 to 776 of the family's 1533-position model. The record is from RNAcentral.